AGAUUAGAGUUUGAUCAUGGGCUCAGAUUGAACGCUGGCGUGCAAAGCCUAACACAUGCAAGUCGAGCGGAUGACGGGAGCUUGCUCCUUGAUUCAGCGGCGGACGGGUGAGUAAUGCCUAGGAAUCUGCCUGGUAGUGGGGGACAACGUUUCGAAAGGAACGCUAAUACCGCAUACGUCCUACGGGAGAAAGCAGGGGGACCUUCGGGCCUUGCGCUAUCAGAUGAGCCUAGGUCGGAUUAGCUAGUUGGUGGGGUAAUGGCUCACCAAGGCGACGAUCCGUAACUGGUCUGAGAGGAUGAUCAGUCACACUGGAACUGAGACACGGUCCAGACUCCUACGGGAGGCAGCAGUGGGGAAUAUUGGACAAUGGGCGAAAGCCUGAUCCAGCCAUGCCGCGUGUGUGAAGAAGGUCUUCGGAUUGUAAAGCACUUUAAGUUUGGGACGGAAGGGCAGUAAGUUAAUACCUUGCUGUUUUGACGUUACCGACAGAAUAAGCACCGGCUAACUCUGUGCCAGGCAGCCGCGGUAAUACAGAGG
Molecule: ribosomal RNA, 540 nt
Filed under: uncultured bacterium
Lineage: Bacteria
Description: bacterial SSU rRNA
Rfam family: Bacterial small subunit ribosomal RNA
Source: RNAcentral